Lolium perenne is the source of this 4155-nucleotide long non-coding RNA. RefSeq lists it as uncharacterized. The record is from RefSeq and is a predicted model, not a curated record. Lineage: Eukaryota; Viridiplantae; Streptophyta; Magnoliopsida; Poales; Poaceae.
AACACUCUCCCGUAUCAAUCAAUCAAAGAAAAGGAAGGAAAAGGAAAAUGAAAAUCACGCAACGCACACCGCACCUCUCCAUCCAGAAUCCCCAACCACCCACGCCUCGAUCCUCGCCGGCGAAUGCGACCCACCUCCGCGCCGUCAACAACCGGCCGUCGACCUCCACCCUCGCGUCCUUCAUUGCGCCCGGAGGCCAACUCCAUCUCCGCCCGCCGUCCUCUGGGGGUCCUUCACCGUCAGCGCCGCGCUCCGGGAAGACGUUCAUCACCUGGGCACGCCUCCAUCGGCGAGCUCCUGCCCUGCCCCGCCACGCCGCCCAUCCGGAGAACCAAGGCCGCUUCAGUUCACCCAGCCACCGCGCCACUAUCCUACUCACCGGACCCCUGCCGGCCGCCUCCACAAGCCGGUGAGGAGAAGCUUGGGACGGAUGGAUCGAUGGUGGUGCAGCUCGAGGCGGCGGCGAGGGGCGACGGCUUGCUCAGUUGCUCUACCUACCACUCGGACGAUGACGACGACGGGAACUGCAGAUACUGCUACGGCUUGCUGCUACCAAGGAUUAUCUUAAAGAGAAGCUGCAACCCUACAGAAGCAUCGUAGAAGAUAAGGUCUCCGCGGUAAUACAUGGUAUCUUUGGACCUCUGCACAACGUGAAGUUAAUUAGUUUUCAGACAUUGCCAAGGCUCUAAUGUCAUGUAUUUGCCUCACGCUGCCUUCUCUGAUGAUUUUUUGCUUUUUUGGGCUGGUCAUUCUCCGCAAGUUUUGCUGCACACAAGGUUGAUUUCUGUGUGAUGUGUUGCUGGUAUUGUUAGGUAUUCUAUUUGUCAAAAUUUUGACUUAUUUGCCCUCUCCUUGUGGUCUUCGAAGACUUUCGUCGGGUGUGAAUAUUGAGUGUGUUUGUGCCAGUGUUAGAUUUACUUUGGGAAUUGAAAAUCAGGAGAUAAUACGGUCCUCUUGUUUACCUUUCUUGCAGUAAAGGUGCUUGAGUUUAUUGUCUUUCCUUUGAAUUAUUCGUUGUUUCAUUUUUCUUAUCAAAUUGCGAACCAGCUUGGUUAGGUUUCUUCUUGUGGCCUGAAAUUUGAACUUAUGGAUAAUUUGAGGUUGUAUUAUUUGAUCUUAUGGUGAUUGAUGGCUAAAUUUAAAAGCUUUUUCUAUUUUUCCCCUCUGAUGAAUUUAAGUCCCUUGCCUAUUUUGGUUGAAUCUGUUCUUGAUUUGAGCUCGUUUCAUGCAAGUACUAUACCAUGGUUUUCACAAACAUUCGAAACUGAUUUGGGUUCAGACUUGUGUUCUGUCGGAGACUAAAAGGAGGUGAACUCGAUUUGUCUACUUCGUGAUAUGUAGUUUUAAAUUUAUUUUAUGUGAGAAUGCUACUAUUUAAUAUAAGUAUUUUAUGUACCGUAGUUUGAUCUAGUGAAACUAAAGAAGCCUUGACAAAGUUUUAAGGAGAAUGCUGGUACUUUUACUAUUGUGAAUGCUUCUAGUACAAGGUACCUACUUGUUGCAUAUGGUUUUUGGACCACCCAAUGGAUUCUGAAACAUGUGUUUUUAUUUCUUUCUUUCUUUGCCUGGUAUGCUUGUAUUUCAAUCCAAGAAAUGGAAAAUUUCUUCUCCCUUUCCAACUCAAAUUUGAUAAAUUCUUUCAUGUUUUUGGCUUUUCAAGCAAAUUCAAAUAUACAUCUCUAGAUGCAUAGCUUGAUUGGAAAUGUAAGUCUAUACAGAAUCAAAACAGGGAACAAAAAGGCUACAAUUUUAAGAAUGUUUAUUUAUGUAUAAUUCAUUGUUGAUGAAGAUAAGCUUAUCCUGGCUCUCUUGUACAUCAACUUUUUUACUGGUUUACUUUGUCCAUUGACUGGCAUUAUGUAAUGCGCUCUCCCAAUUUCCUGGUGUGUUUAUCUAUUCACUGAAAAGGUGACGCUUCUGCACUGGAUAACAUAUGUAUGUUUUGUGUGGGACAGUGAUUGUGUUGUUGCAUUAGUAUUGGUGAGUAGGAACAAGGCUCAAGUGGCUAAAUUACAUACUCUGAGAUUCGGUUCUGAGUUCUAGGAUGGGAUUUGAGGUUGUUUAUCUACAGCUAUGGAACUUUGAUUAGAUCAUAUAUUUGAACUGUUUGGUGGCAUGUCAACUAGGUGAACCAUUCCCAGGAAGUGAAGGUGAAGAGUAAAAACGUACUGCCUAUUUUUACGAUUUACGACCCGUGUGGCCUGUUUUAUACAGUACCAAGGUUAUACUAUCUUCGCUAUUUAUGGCUUGUGUUCGUCUACAUGGUCCUUCAUGGUGUAAUUAUGUCAAUCAAAUAUUUAGAUAACUAUUGAGCUUUGUUUAGGAUUAGUGUUGCUGAAAGAAUGAUCAUCAUUUAGGAUUGGACUUGAUGCAUCUAUUCAUUUAAGAUUGAUCAUCAUAUUCUUUACGCCAUAAUACGUAAGAUAGUUUUCUUAGUUCAUGCUGAUCAAUGUUCACAUUUGUACUCGUUGCUGUCUCCGUAUGAUUUUUGCAGAAGUAUAAUCCUGCCAUGUUCAAAUGUUUUGUUCAGUUCACUAUCUAGGCUAUGCAUGGCCUGUCGUACUGGAAUGCUUAAUUUGCAAGACAAAAUAUGCAAAAAUCUGGUUCUCAGUUAAAAUGCUGAUGAAACAAUAAAUGCUAUGCUUUGGUAGUUCCUUCAGUUUUCUAGCUAAGCUAGUCAUGUUGAAUGCUAUCUGCAGCAUGGUCAUGAAAGUCUUAAUCUUCCUAGACUUGAUAUUUAUAGAGUAUUGGCAAUGAAUCUCUACUACGAAAAGCCUUUACUAGUAGUUUCUUUGUUAACUCAGUCUGAAGGUUUAACUUUUACUACUUGUUUGGUGGAUCUUUACCAUCCACUAUUCCCAAGAAUUCAUUCCUAGUUAUGUAUGCCUCCUAUUCAAGCUCAUAGUAUUGUUACUUUUCCUGUUAACUUUCUAUUUAUCUUUCUUCUUUUUUUAUAAGGAUCGAGGAAGCAUUCAACAAUUAUAGUGCAAGAAUAAACAAUGUACAUAAAUGUUUACAGGGCCGUUUAGUAGAUCCACUGUAGUAGAACAACAAUUUUGGGUGCAAUGUCAACAAAGGUUUGUUUUCUGCCUGUAGAUCAUUUAUUUUAUGGUAGAAAGGAUGAUUAUGCAUGAUGUUAAGGUGCAUCCAUUUUAGUGAGUUUUAGAUAAGCUUGGUCAUUUUGAAGUUCCACAUGAUUUCCUCAUUUUCCAAAUUUGAGUACUUGCAUCACAGAUAGUUCAACUCUAUUUUGGGGCAUUGAUUAUGCGUGUAAGCAAAAGUGUAACAUCUUUACCAGUAUAACCCAAUUAGCCAUGAUGUCUUAUUUGGCAUGAUCUCUUUUAUUUUAUGGUUCAUUUUUCUGCUAUUUCACCAAUCAUAGCACCUUCAUCUUGGUUCACAUAAUGAGUUGUCGAAUUGGGCUCCCAAAUCCAGAGUUCCAUUGUUUGUACGAAGUCCCAAUUUCAGUCCUUUGUCAACUCUUGUCCAAACUGUACCUUCUUAUGGUUCACUACUAACUGAUUUAGUGCAAAGGGUGUUUUUUUGACUGACUUUCAUUUGCUACCUCCUCAUCGCUGCAUGCGAUUGCCAUUUACGAGCUGCUGCUGUACUAGCCACAGCCGGCCCUUGGCUUCGACUACCCGGCCUUGGUCCGCGACGCAACCGCGGUGGUGAUGCUCUGCCUCGGCUACAAGCUAUUCAGGUGGUGGCGAAUGGACAAACGAGACGCCGACGGAGCCUUGUUCUUGGACCUGCGUUGGUAGAUAGCCGGUUGGGACUGACACGACGCCGGAGGAGCAGUGGUGCAUGGAGCGGUCGACGAACAAGUAGAGAGAAGGAAUGGAGAGUUGUGCACGUGGCUGCCCUGAAGUAGCGGCGACAACAGCAAUGAGGGAGAAACAGAGGUGGCCUGGAGGAAGGGAGAUAGACUAGAUGUGUCCGGCUGGACAAGGGAGAUGCUGGCCGAUAUUCCACUGCUAGCAUUCUGUUUCAGGCACCCGUCGCGGCCAAGAUUUUGUACCAAUGUUGCUGUGUAUUGUAGUUUCUCUGAUAACGCGUCAUACUACUAUAUCAAACCGAACCGGAACCAACCAAGGCGACCAAAAUCUAUCUUUUCCAUUAAUUUACAUUCUCUAAGGUUGAGUUAGCAUUAAA